CCUAGGAAUUACAUAUGAACUGACCUCAUCAUGUAUAAGGCAAGAAUGGCCGCGCCGCCAAGCUCGGCAAGGCAGGGGACUGUUUUAUCACAAAGACCUGUAGACACAGUACCAUGCGGAAAUUUGAUUAGUAACCUUGGUAACAUGAAGAGGUCACAAUAAUCCUCAUAACUGGAUAUGAUAGGCCACAGUUAGGGUUAGAUAAGGGGUGUCACGGUCUAACAGUCAUUGUGUCGGAGAGCAACAUCCAACCAGGGCCCAAAAUAAGAGAUCCGUGCUUGAUUUGACAAUUGUUGUUUUUUAAGAUUUGUUUGAGGAUCCCUCCUCCCUGUGUUCUAUCAGUGAAAUCUGUACACAGUCACCAAUCACUUUUGUACUCUGAUUGCAAUCCUCAAAUUUAGAAUGACUCAUUAAUAGGAUUAACGGUAUGAUGGGAGUUUUCCCUAAAUCAGAUAAAGCCUUUCAAUGAGAUGAAACAGUGUUGCGCACACCAAUGUGUUGACAUCUGUGUAAAAUCUUUUGAUGUCAUAAAUGUGAUGGUGACCGUGGUUGGAAUGUGCCUUCAGAAAAAAACGAGCUGAAAAAAACAAUACAUGGAUCACUGGGUCUCUCCUGUGCUGCAGCUUGAGUCUAUUAUUGAUGUCAUCUUGAUCCAAUUUGAUGAAUCUUAGGGGUUCGCCCAAAGAGAGGGGCCAGUCAGAGCAAACGCAGUGUGACCUUGUCCCAGCUUUUCUCUCUCACUAUGAUUCGGAAUGCAUUUAGAGGUUGGGAGUUAUUUCAUUAAAGACUAAACACGAAACAGGUUGUACCAGAGCGCUCUUGUCUGAAUGGGUGCUAAAUGUUCCGAUAAACUCCGAAGCAUGCCAAAGGUGAACUGAAGAUCCUGUUGCAUAGCCCUGGUGUUCAGGGCAGGGUCACGGUCCCCUCACGGUCCUCGGCUCACGCCUUUGAUCAGUACCCUCUGUGAGGUAAUGGUGCUAUCUAUGCCACGCCGCCGCUGCCAGCGAUGACAAGGAGCAAAGGAGCGCAUGGAGGGUUACAGUCCAGCGCUCGGUGCAGUCGCCAUGGGCUACAGCAGUCUUCGCCGGACGGAGAGGCCUUAUUGGAUGUGGCAGGCUUGAACUCUGUCCCUGCUGACGCUAACUCAAUGAGGUGAAGGGGUGAGAGGCAGAGGUUGGGUUCGACUGGAGACAGUUCUACUUUACAUGUCUAAGAGAGAGCUAACAAGAACUGCCUGUGAUUUCAUUUCAGGAAAAGAUCGUUUGACCCCUGAAAUUCCUUUCUUCUUUGGGAAACGGAUUCGUUCUGCUCUGCCUCAUAUUUCGGCGGUUAGGCAGGUGUACAUUUCAGACGGCUACUAAUAACUUGCUAAUUUAACUUAAAAAGGACAUAUUUCAGGACGCGAAAGCCUCAGUAGCGCGCGAGAGUACACUUAAAAGGACAACGCAGGAUACGUGUGUUUUUACAAUGGCUUCCACGCUGAGAGCACAAUGGCUGUCAUCAGGCCCAGCUCCACGGCCAUAGGGAUUCUCAUUUGGCAGCCGGCCUGGCCAAACAAAGGAAGUCUAAAAGCUUAAAUGGUUUUGCUCCCUUCAUAUUUAUGUAGUGCACAAUGCAUGAGCUGCAUGUUACUGUCAGUCUCUCAUAGUUGUGUUUUUAUGAGGUGUAAUAAUUGACAGGGCAUAUUUCAUUGGGAGUUAUGAUCAUUGAGGGUUAUAUUAAUUUGACCCAUUAAGUAAUUAUUGAAUAAGAAACAUUUCUCUCAUG
Alosa sapidissima (American shad) is the source of this 1767-nucleotide long non-coding RNA. RefSeq lists it as uncharacterized. NCBI's taxonomy places the organism in Eukaryota, Metazoa, Chordata, Actinopteri, Clupeiformes, Clupeidae. The record is from RefSeq and is a predicted model, not a curated record. The transcript has 3 exons.